RNAcentral lists this ribosomal RNA (433 nucleotides) under uncultured bacterium. Its description in RNAcentral is "partial 16S ribosomal RNA". It matches the Rfam family "Bacterial small subunit ribosomal RNA", at positions 29 to 507 of the family's 1533-position model. The record is from RNAcentral.
AACGAACGCUGGCGGCAGGCUUAACACAUGCAAGUCGAACGGAUCCUUCGGGAUUAGUGGCAGACGGGUGAGUAACGCGUGGGAACGUACCCUUUGCUACGGAAUAACUCAGGGAAACUUGAGCUAAUACCGUAUGUGCCCUACGGGGGAAAGAUUUAUCGGCAAAGGAUCGGCCCGCGUUGGAUUAGCUAGUUGGUGGGGUAAUGGCCUACCAAGGCGACGAUCCAUAGCUGGUCUGAGAGGAUGAUCAGCCACACUGGGACUGAGACACGGCCCAGACUCCUACGGGAGGCAGCAGCGGGGAAUAUUGGACAAUGGGCGCAAGCCUGAUCCAGCCAUGCCGCGUGAGUGAUGAAGGUCUUAGGAUUGUAAAGCUCUUUCACCGGUGAAGAUAAUGACGGUAGCCGGAGAAGAAGCCCCGGCUAACUUCGUG